GAAAUGCGAUAAGUAAUGUGAAUUACAGAAUUCAGUGAAUCAUCGAAUCUUUGAACGCACAUUGCGCCCGCCAGUAUUCUGGCGGGCAUGCCUGUUCGAGCGUCAUUACAACCCUCAGGCCCCCGGGCCUGGCGUUGGGGAUCGGCGGAAGCCCCCUGCGGGCACAACGCCGUCCCCCAAAUACAGUGGCGGUCCCGCCGCAGCUUCCAUUGCGUAGUAGCUAACACCUCGCAACUGGAGAGCGGCGCGGCCACGCCGUAAAACACCCAACUUCUGAAUGUUGACCUCGAAUCAGGUAGGAAUACCCGCUGAACUUAAGC
Molecule: unclassified non-coding RNA, 320 nt
Filed under: plant metagenome
Description: partial contains 5.8S ribosomal RNA, internal transcribed spacer 2, and large subunit ribosomal RNA
Rfam family: 5.8S ribosomal RNA (bases 1-105)
Source: RNAcentral